This is a non-coding RNA of Acanthosepion pharaonis, 97 nucleotides long. The record is from the annotation of a GenBank genome assembly. Lineage: Eukaryota; Metazoa; Mollusca; Cephalopoda; Sepiida; Sepiidae.
UAGAAACACCGGUUCUUGUACAAUCACAGAAGUUAAGGAAUGUCGAGCCUAGUCAAUACCUAGAUGGGUGACCACUUGGGAAUACCAGGUGCUGUAA